AGGACGAACGCUGGCGGCGUGCUUAACACAUGCAAGUCGAGCGGAAAGGCCCUUCGGGGUACUCGAGCGGCGAACGGGUGAGUAACACGUGAGUAAUCUGCCCCUAGCUCUGGGAUAGCUCCGGGAAACCGGGAUUAAUACCGGAUACGACCACCUUAGACAUCUUUUGUGGUGGAAAGAAUUUCGGCUAGGGAUGAGCUCGCGGCCUAUCAGCUUGUUGGUGGGGUAACGGCCUACCAAGGCGACGACGGGUAGCCGGCCUGAGAGGGCGACCGGCCACACUGGGACUGAGACACGGCCCAGACUCCUACGGGAGGCAGCAGUGGGGAAUAUUGCGCAAUGGGCGAAAGCCUGACGCAGCGACGCCGCGUGGGGGAUGAAGGCCUUCGGGUUGUAAACCCCUUUCAGCAGGGACGAAGCGAAAGUGACGGUACCUGCAGAAGAAGCGCGGCUAACUACGUGCCAGCAGCCGC
RNAcentral lists this ribosomal RNA (473 nucleotides) under uncultured bacterium. Its description in RNAcentral is "SSU rRNA". It matches the Rfam family "Bacterial small subunit ribosomal RNA", at positions 26 to 518 of the family's 1533-position model. The record is from RNAcentral.